This 10536-nucleotide long non-coding RNA is filed under the name Zea mays. RNAcentral describes it as "long non-coding RNA (ZMAY_LNC003540)". Lineage: Eukaryota; Viridiplantae; Streptophyta; Magnoliopsida; Poales; Poaceae. The record is from RNAcentral.
CCACAUUCAUGCAUAUUACAGUAAUCACACUCGAUACACACACACUUCGGAGAUAGAGCGGAAGACUUUACAAAAUAUAUUUUACAUUUCCAAAGCUCAAGUUUUACAACAUAAGAAGAAUUGUAAUUAUUACAAGUCCUGAUAGUACCCAAAGUGCAUAACUUAUUAAAAUAGUUGGAAGGGUGAAGCCUUUCCAUAAGAUAUAUACAUAAACAUUCUAAGCUUCAAGGCCUCCACAUGAAGUAACUAACCAAAAGAUAAGGGAAUAAAACUUCUCCUGCAAAAACAACAAGGGAUAAAACCCUGAGUACGCAAUUACUCAGCAAGACUUACCUGACUAAAGAAAAGACUCUCAAGGGUAUGCUAGCUGAUUGGGAAUCAAGGUAAAGUUUAGAGAAAAUUCCUGGUAUGCCAUCAGAUUUUAUACUCAUCCCUUGUGUGCCACUGAGUGGCAUAUAGGUAUAUUUUUUGGUGUCUAUGACAUGUGGGGCCAGUGGCAUACAAGGAAUGAGUAUAUUUUCCAGUGGCAUACAGGGAAUUGGCCCUAAAGUUUAUCAAUGAUCAAAGACUCCUUUUUGCAGAAAAGCUUGCUACCAGUUGAUCCUUAAGCCAAAUUUUAUUUCACUAGUUAGGUUAUUACCUGAAUCUAUAUUUGCAUGGUCUAGUUCAAGCACUUGGCCUAUACUAGUUGCAUUUUAUUCAUUCUCAUAUUUCACUUGCUAACUACGAUGAUGGUCACCGGGAUGAGUCUCCAUAACCGAGGAGCAACGACGAUUCGAACCGAUUAUACCCAGCUGGGGAUCUCUAACCACACGACAUAUGUAGCACUUAACCCUUGCAUAUGUCAACCGUUCCCACGGAGUCCUCCACUACAUGAACAGGUCCGCGCCACCCGAGAGAACAUUACCUACCAGGCGUGCUCUGUGCCAGGAGGGUACAUGCUACUCUCGCCAUCUCUCCACUCCCAGUGCGCGAUUGUCCCUUCACGUAUGGAAUAGCCGGGUUCAAGCUUACCCUGUCCCAUACCAGGGUAUGUGGCUAGUUGCAAAGUCUCAACCACAACAGGCCAGUCAACGGUACAGUCCUUAAUCGACACAGACGGGCGACUUUGUCUGCUCAGCGCCUGGUCUAGAUUUAUUAACCAUUUUCCCAUUUUUGGUACCCGACAGGGGUACUCUUUUCCAAUGAUGAGCCCACUCCGGCCGAAGUGGAGUCAUCACUUAGUUUGCUUUGAUUUUUGAAUCAAAAAGCCCAUAACCAAUGUUCCACAAUCAUUCUUUUGAAAACAAAUGAUUUUUCAGUUUCUAAGCAGGGUUAAGCAUUAUCAGUUCUUUUUAUAAAUCAGGGAUCAAGGUAUAGUAUUCAAAUUCCAAGGAAUGGUAAUGCAUCAAUUGUUCAUCACACAACUCCUAUCACCUAAUGCAUCAUUUAAGGUGAUAAAGCAUUUAAAACACAAGGAAGGGGCAAAUGCACCGGGGCUUGCCUUAUUACAGGAGGAGAUCUGAGAUCUUCUAUCACGAUAGGCAGUUAGAUGGAGUCCACCACUGGAUCAAUAGCACUGGAGUAGGUUCCAUCUUCACAAGGACCAAUUCUUGUUCUUGGUGUUCUACAUGAAAUGAUAUGAAUAUGGAUAUUUACUUAAACUAGGAAUAUGCAACUUGCAAAGGAGACAACACAUAUUAUUCCUAGACUUAACAUAUAAGCUAUCAUCACAAGCCAUAACUACCAGGGAGCUACUUAUCCUUAGAAUUCAUCUAACCAUUCACAACUUGCUAAACAAUUUCAUCCUUUACUAAGACAUCAGGUGCCUUAAUUACCGAGGGGUAAAACUCUUUUUCUUUAUUGAGCAAUAAUUAAUUUACUAAGCAAAUCUUGUCCAAACAGUUCCAAACUUUAUCCAAGGGUUCAUAUGCUCAAGAUAAGCUUACACAAAUUUUCCUACAAUUUUUAGUGCUCUAUUUUUAUUACUAAAAUUUCAUAUAAGUUCAUUUAAAGCAGGUUUUAUUCAUCUAAAAAUAUUUAUUUGCUACAAAAACUCCAAAACUAUUUUUACCUGGAACGCUACCAAUUUACCUAUCUAACCAAAUUUGUUUUACUAAUUUAGCACUUUUCCACAAUUUUUGGUAUAAAUAAACAGACAUUAGGUAAAAGAAAAUGCUAAACACAUGAACAGUCUCGGGCCAGAACUAACCCAGCCAGCCCAACUCCAGGCAAAACCGGCCCACUCAGACAGCGCUUACAGCCCUAGGCUCCAGCACCGCGCGCGCCCGCGCUUCCUCUGCGCGUGUCGGCGGCUUCCAACUUCGAUGGUGUUAAGCCGGAAUGACGAUGCAGUAGAGUUCCCAACCAUGGUGGAGCAGGCACUUGCGACUCACCACAGAGCAGACCAACCCCAGAUCACGCACGCAACCGGCCCCAGACAAGGUCUGCCACGGCGAGACCGUUCCCAGCGGCGUUCACCGGCGGCACCGCGGCGUUCCCGACGAGACACUGCAGUAGAGAUGAAAAGGGUAGUGCCAUGAGCUUCACUGGCUUAAGGAGAUUACUGAACGCGAGUGACACGGGUGAGCAACUCCUCGAGACGACACGGCCACAGUGAGAUGAGAAACUGAUGAGCUCAGUCACCAGAAAAGGGAGAUUGGCAUGCGAUGAACAAGAGCAGAUCGAACCUGAUGGCCGGGGAGAGUAAACACCGACGUGAACAUGAACCACAACACUCACACGAUGCACUCUCGCUAGAACUCAAGAACGGGAAGAGACUUCACUGCCCUGGCCCUGCAGCGACUAGAUAAAAGGGUAGUGCAAAGUGAUUGAGCUCGGCCGGUUCACGGUAGAGAAGGCUUUGAUGGCGCCAGCACAACAUGGCUCAAACACGUGGCUAAGCUUCCAAGCCCCACGCCAACAUGCAAGCAACACCAAAGCAUCGAACUUGGGUUGGUUCACAGGCACACCACAAAUAUCCACUCUGCUCAGAAAUUCAGACAUAGAGGAGAGCAGAUAAGGACCCACUGUUCCCAGACAGUCCAAAACUUAGAUAUUUCAGUGGGGAGAGGCAUCUCCCUUGGCCACGCAUUUUACUCUUAUCUCCAUCCACAUAUUUAAAGUAACAUUUGCAGGGAAAAGGAUCUUCUUUAUUUACCAACUGAAACUCUGAAUUCAACCAAAUCAGGCCUGCUGCUCCCAUUCCCCUCCUCACUGUUUAAGCCCUUUGAUUUUAAAUUCCCCUUAACAAUAGACCAGACUUACUUAACCAAAAUUACUCUCCAAACCAAGCUCUAUCACUUUGGUAUAACAACCCAGGGCUAAAAACGUCUUGGAACAAAAACUAUGAUGCCCAAAAGUAGAGAAAAACCAACACUGGCAGCUCAAUCUCAAUUGACUGAAACAGCCCAUACCAAACUAACAUUAAGUUGUGUAACAGAAUUUUCUCUAAUUUCUUCCGAGUAACAAGCCCAACUCUUUAUAUAAAAAUUGUUCACCUUAUAACAACCUCCAACAUUUCUAUGUACUUCUUAAUCUGCAACUUGAUGGAAUGGUCGCAAGAGUGCCCCAAACUGAUUCAAGUUUCAGCUAUCAGCACCUGAAUCCCACACUUUUCUGACAGAACCCCCAUCUUAAUCCCCUUAAAUCUCAUGAUUCCAAAUGGUAACAGUGAAACGACCACAACAUAAAUUGCUCUCCCAACAUCCUUCUACAUCUUUGCUGCAGAAUCCCCAGUCCAAAACUCCAUGGAUUUGGUACUACAGACCUCCAAAGUCGAGCACAAAUUCACAAAAACUCAGUUUGCAGCUAACUGAACCAGAGUUCAGACCAUACCCAACUGACAGAGGAUGUUUAGGUGCAGUUUAUUCUUAGAUUUGUACAGCACUAAGCCUACCUCUCCUUAGAAAACUUACUCACCUUACUUUGGUCUCCAAGUUCUCUACAGAAACUACGGCCUAAAAGUGCAUGGAUUGAUCAACAAGGAGGUCCAAACUGAGCAUCAUACUGAACUUUCAGUUUCAGCUAUUUGAACAAAAAUUCAGUUAGUGCACACUGACAAUCCAUUUUUGGGCAAAUUUUACUUUCCUUUUUGUUUGUGAUCAAGCCCAACUCACUUAAAGGAGUCUGUUCACUAUAAUAUGGUCUUCAACUAAUCUACAGAAACCAUAGUCCAAAACUUCCUAAAUUAGCUACAAUAGAGCUCCAAAACUGAACUAACAACACUGAUUUCAGACUUAGGCUACUAUUCAAAAUCUGAAGAUCCAGAAGUCUGACAGCCCUACUUUGAACACAUUUUUUCUCCUAGUUGCAUAUGGUUUUAGGGCUGCCACAUUUCAUAAACGUUAUUCUCCUAUAGUUACUCUACAGGUUUGUUAUAGCAACUGUUUCCAAAAUAGUCAUGGAUUAUAAGUUACAGGGAUCCAAAAACAGAUAAACAAAACUGUUUUGGGCUGAUUCCAAUUGACCCAAAUCUGAACUUUUGCAAAUUACUUCAAAUUCUCCCACAUCACUUGGAGAGCUCCAAUUAUGAAAAUUGUUCACUUUCCCAAGCUCCACGACUUUUAUAUACGGACUUUUAGCAAAACAUAGCUAAAUCUUAAAAUCCACUUUUGCGCUAGUUUAGAGUUGAAAUUGGACUUGAUCUGCUUCAAGUGCUUCAUCAAUUUAUUGCAUCCUACUAAAAACAAGGUUAACCUUAAGCUCAAACCCAACUUUGGUGUAUAGAGCUUAUGUCCAAAUUUCCAUUAGUUUAAAAGUUGCUUGUUUGUACUAGAUUUCAAACAAGGUCUCUGAACUUCUCUUGCUCUCUUCGAAACGACACAACCUCGCCCUUUUCUCCAAGUUCCAAAUGCUUCUGAGGCCAAGUUGCUUAAUCAAAUUGGUGCUCCACAAGUUUGGUACAAUGACCCUUAGCUAGAACCAUAUGGAUUCUAAACCAUCAAAGCCCAAAGUUGGCAUUAAACACACAGAUUCAGACUUUGGUUUUUCACCAAGUUUGAAAAUCCAAAAUUAAACACUACAUUUUUUACCACUGUUUCUACCAGUUCCAAAUAGUUUCAGAGGUAUGAACCUUAACCAAACUUAUACCCCAACAUGUGGUCUUCCACUUUGGUACAUAAACUGUAACCCAUAGCUGUAUGGAUUAGCCACCAACAGGCUUCCAAAGUUGCUUCAGCAUAUAAAAUCUUCAGUUUCAGAUAUUGCAGUCUGAAAUUCAGAUUCUGACAUUCCCACUUUGGACCAGUUUCCACCUAGUUCCAUAUGAAUUUAGGGUUACGUAGCUUAAACAAAUUUACACAUCUAGUGUAGCUCUACAGCUUUGCUACUGUGACCAUCUUCAAAUUGCCUAUAUAUCAAAAGUUAUGAAGAUUCAAAGACAACUACUUGAUAUUGUUUCCAGCCAUCCAACCUUAGGUCCAAAAAGUUAAUUUUUGAGUUUUCUCCACUUCUUCCUAUAAAACAUGGAAAUCUCUAUACCUGAAAGUUGUUUGGGUUGGAGAACUCUAUAAAUUUGGUAAUUUGACCUUUUGGCAAAUUAUUGCCAAAUCACAAGUUCCACUUUUGGAGCUCUAAACUGAGAUUUUCAAAACCAGGUCCUUCACUCUUCAUUAAUCACAACAUCAUACUUAGAUUAUUUUGGAUCCUAGUGAAUGCAUUCUAAGUGUAUCAAGCAAGUUAAUGCAAAUGCUGAUGAUGACAUGUCAGAGUUUUAGUAAUCGUAACACCAGGGGUGUUACAGCCUUCCCCCCUAAAAGAAAUCUUGUCCCGAGAUUAAAAGUCUAGACUCAGUAAUGGAAAAGAAAAUGUGUCACCGGUUUAUUUUCCAUUUACUCCUACAAGGCAGGGGGUGUGCCCCCAUCGAAAGACAACUUAUACAAACCUAGGGUUUACAAGACACUAGGAACUCAGGAAUAUACUUUUCUAAAUACUUCUCUGACUACUACGCGACUUUAUCUUCUGGGUGUUAGUUCCACUGUAUUUCGUAAAAGUCGGUAACUUUUCUUCGAGUGACCCGAUCCUUUUGAUCUAACACCUUUAUGGGAUAUUCCGAGGAGGUUAAACCUGGUUUAUGGUUAACAUCUGAAAUCUCAAUACCAUAUUUGGGGACUCGAAGACAUUUCUUCCAUUGGGACACGUGGAACACGUCGUGCAGUGUUGAAGGUCCUUUUGGCAAUUGUACCUUAUAAGCUAUAGGUCCACCAAAAUCUCCGUUUCAAACCUUGGUACCUAUUGCUACCUUCAAGGUGAAUGGAGUCCCGGACUGCAACCCAAUCGCAAUUCCACAUCCCUUUUUGGAGGCAACUAGUCAAAUCUUCGAGGAACAUAUCCGAUAACUCCCUCACAUCAGGUAUAUCCUUUACUUCUUUCACUUAAACUCCUAAUGUAGACAAAUCUUAUUAUUUCCUAGAAUAUCCUGACUGACCAUCUCCUUAUAUCCUUCAACCAAACUAAUUGCCAUCAGGAGCUAAAGUUUCACAUUAAGAUCAAGUAGGAUGUAUUACUUUUUUUUUCACUGGCAUCCACAUAAUCCAAAACAUACUGGGAUAGGCGAGUAAACCUCUCAAAUAGUCCAUUACACUCGCUUCUUCACCUUGCUUUAGAUCCAAAAACGCUUUUAACUUUAUUUACAUAGGGGCUUCUGGAAUACGACGUGCCCGAAAUACCUCACAGAACUCAACCCGAGAACUUAAUGUCCUUCUAGCUGCAGCGCAAGGUAUUCUGCCCGCCAACUAAACUUGGCUUCCAGUCUUCAAAAAAAGGAAAGGUAGCAUAGAAAGGCAAAGACAGAUAGCAUGAACAGGGUAGACGAAACACGUACUAAACCUACUACAUGGGGGUUUAACUUAAAGUUAUAUGUCAUGAUGCAUGCUCGUCCUAUUCGUCCUCACAAUCUUGCCAGCAUAUAGUGGCUUGCACGCUCUAUGGCGGUGGCAUAUCUACUCACUCUGGAGUUAACUAGUCGUAAUUUUCUAGAGUUUAGUCAGUGUACCUGCAGAAAAUUUCAUUACAGCCCAAACCCCAUGAUGCAAUUCACACAUAUAGUCACAGUUUAUACUCCAUAUAUUUCUAUAUAGAGGCCAGCUCCUCAUUAAGCGCCGAGCCACGCAUAGGCGCCGCUGCCACACUUUAACCACAGGGCAGCCCAUUGUGGCAACUAUUCAUUACACUUCUCAGCACUCCCAUGUUUGUAUACCCAUACACAUCCAUGGGGUACUGAAUCCUAAAAAAAGUAAUUACUCCACAUUGCAACCUUUAUAUAUACAUAUGUAGAAUAUGUAUAUAGUCUAGUGCCACAUUUAAGCACUCCCCUAGACCGACGUUUGUUCGGUCAUGCUCUCACAACUCACCUUUACCUGAGCGUCGAUCCAUUCAAAACUGAAUGGCACUAAAAAUAACAUUACACAUGUAUGCAUUACCCUUCCCAGGUUGUGGGUUAGUGGUUAGCAUCUUAAACUAAGCCACCUGAUAGUCCGUAGUUUUAACCACAUACUAUUUGCACUUGUACUAUCAAGCCUUGAUUAUAGAUUCUUAAGUUUAUAAAAAUCAUUUAGACUCAAAAUCAUUUUGAAGUUUAUCAAAGGAUUACUUUAAUAUCCAUGCUAAUGGGGGAUCGCUCCGAUACCACACUGUGACAGCCCUCCCAAGUUAUCAGGCCCACAUGCACCAACUCUUGCCAUUAACGGCCUCAGAUGGUUGUGCACGUGUACCGGGUAACUUAACAAGGCUAUCACGAGUUCAACAACUUGAACUCAUUAUCCCAAGGAUCUCCCACAUUCAUGCAUAUUACAGUAAUCACACUCGAUACACACACACUUCGGAGAUAGAGCGGAAGACUUUACAAAAUAUAUUUUACAUUUCCAAAGCUCAAGUUUUACAACAUAAGAAGAAUUGUAAUUAUUACAAGUCCUGAUAGUACCCAAAGUGCAUAACUUAUUAAAAUAGUUGGAAGGGUGAAGCCUUUCCAUAAGAUAUAUACAUAAACAUUCUAAGCUUCAAGGCCUCCACAUGAAGUAACUAACCAAAAGAUAAGGGAAUAAAACUUCUCCUGCAAAAACAACAGGGGAUAAAACCCUGAGUACGCAAUUACUCAGCAAGACUUACCCGACUAAAGAAAAGACUCUCAAGGGUAUGCUAGCUGAUUGGGAAUCAAGGUAAAGUUUAUCAAUGAUCAAAGACUCCUUUUUGCAGAAAAGCUUGCUACCAGUUGAUCCUUAAGCCAAAUUUUAUUUCACUAGUUAGGUUAUUACCUGAAUCUAUAUUUGCAUGGUCUAGUUCAAGCACUUGGCCUAUACUAGUUGCAUUUUAUUCAUUCUCAUAUUUCACUUGCUAACUACGAUGAUGGUCACCGGGAUGAGUCUCCAUAACCGAGGAGCAACGACGAUUCGAACCGAUUAUACCCAGCUGGGGAUCUCUAACCACACGACAUAUGUAGCACUUAACCCUUGCAUAUGUCAACCGUUCCCACGGAGUCCUCCACUACAUGAACAGGUCCGCGCCACCCGAGAGAACAUUACCUACCAGGCGUGCUCUGUGCCAGGAGGGUACAUGCUACUCUCGCCAUCUCUCCACUCCCAGUGCGCGAUUGUCCCUUCACGUAUGGAAUAGCCGGGUUCAAGCUUACCCUGUCCCAUACCAGGGUAUGUGGCUAGUUGCAAAGUCUCAACCACAACAGGCCAGUCAACGGUACAGUCCUUAAUCGACACAAACGGGCGACUCUGUCUGCUCAGCGCCUGGUCUAGAUUUAUUAACCAUUUUCCCAUUUUUGGUACCCGACAGGGGUACUCUUUUCCAAUGAUGAGCCCACUCCGGCCGAAGUGGAGUCAUCACUUAGUUUGCUUUGAUUUUUGAAUCAAAAAGCCCAUAACCAAUGUUCCACAAUCAUUCUUUUGAAAACAAAUGAUUUUUCAGUUUCUAAGCAGGGUUAAGCAUUAUCAGUUCUUUUUAUAAAUCAGGGAUCAAGGUAUAGUAUUCAAAUUCCAAGGAAUGGUAAUGCAUCAAUUGUUCAUCACACAACUCCUAUCACCUAAUGCAUCAUUUAAGGUGAUAAAGCAUUUAAAACACAAGGAAGGGGCAAAUGCACCGGGGCUUGCCUUAUUACAGGAGGAGAUCUGAGAUCUUCUAUCACGAUAGGCAGUUAGAUGGAGUCCACCACUGGAUCAAUAGCACUGGAGUAGGUUCCAUCUUCACAAGGACCAAUUCUUGUUCUUGGUGUUCUACAUGAAAUGAUAUGAAUAUGGAUAUUUGCUUAAACUAGGAAUAUGCAACUUGCAAAGGAGACAACACAUAUUAUUCCUAGACUUAACAUAUAAGCUAUCAUCACAAGCCAGAACUACCAGGGAGCUACUUAUCCUUAGAAUUCAUCUAACCAUUCACAACUUGCUAAACAAUUUCAUCCUUUACUAAGACAUCAGGUGCCUUAAUUACCGAGGGGUAAAACUCUUUUUCUUUAUUGAGCAAUAAUUAAUUUACUAAGCAAAUCUUGUCCAAACAGUUCCAAACUUUAUCCAAGGGUUCAUAUGCUCAAGAUAAGCUUACACAAAUUUUCCUACAAUUUUUAGUGCUCUAUUUUUAUUACUAAAAUUUCAUAUAAGUUCAUUUAAAGCAGGUUUUAUUCAUCUAAAAAUAUUUAUUUGCUACAAAAACUCCAAAACUAUUUUUACCUGGAACGCUACCAAUUUACCUAUCUAACCAAAUUUGUUUUACUAAUUUAGCACUUUUCCACAAUUUUUGGUAUAAAUAAACAGACAUUAGGUAAAAGAAAAUGCUAAACACAUGAACAGUCUCGGGCCAGAACUAACCCAGCCAGCCCAACUCCAGGCAAAACCGGCCCACUCAGACAGCGCUUACAGCCCUAGGCUCCAGCACCGCGCGCGCCCGCGCUUCCUCUGCGCGUGUCGGCGGCUUCCAACUUCGAUGGUGUUAAGCCGGAACGACGAUGCAGUAGAGUUCCCAACCAUGGUGGAGCAGGCACUUGCGACUCACCACAGAGCAGACCAACCCCAGAUCACGCACGCAACCGGCCCCAGAUAAGGUCUGCCACGGCGAGACCGUUCCCAGCGGCGUUCACCGGCGGCACCGCGGCGUUCCCGACGAGACACUGCAGUAGAGAUGAAAAGGGUAGUGCCAUGAGCUUCACUGGCUUAAGGAGAUUACUGAACGCGAGUGACACGGGUGAGCAACUCCUCGAGACGACACGGCCACAGUGAGAUGAGAAACUGAUGAGCUCAGUCACCAGAAAAGGGAGAUUGGCAUGCGAUGAACAAGAGCAGAUCGAACCUGAUGGCCGGGGAGAGUAAACACCGACGUGAACAUGAACCACAACACUCACACGAUGCACUCUCGCUAGAACUCAAGAACGGGAAGAGACUUCACUGCCCUGGCCCUGCAGCGACUAGAUAAAAGGGUAGUGCAAAGUGAUUGAGCUCGGCCGGUUCACGGUAGAGAAGGCUUUGAUGGCGCCAGCACAACAUGGCUCAAACACGUGGCUAAGCUUCCAAGCCCCACGCCAACAUGCAAGCAACACCAAAGCAUCGAACUUGGGUUGGUUCACAG